This 215-nucleotide unclassified non-coding RNA is filed under the name Hevea brasiliensis (rubber tree). The record is from RNAcentral. Lineage: Eukaryota; Viridiplantae; Streptophyta; Magnoliopsida; Malpighiales; Euphorbiaceae.
UUAUUUUGUAAGACCCAAAUUCAUGCCAUUUUUUCUUUUACGAUUAAGCCAUGAGGAUUUCAUUAAGCACAAACGAAGAUGUAAAAUGCAUUACAAGAAGCAAAAGAAACAAAAGAAAUAGAUUUAUGUAAUUUUUGUACAGAUUUUUCAUCAACCUCUUUUUUUUAAUAAGCGGACUAUUUUAUUGAAAUUGAAGAUAUUAGACAUACAAAAAG